Molecule: ribosomal RNA, 254 nt
Filed under: uncultured bacterium
Lineage: Bacteria
Description: partial 16S ribosomal RNA
Rfam family: Bacterial small subunit ribosomal RNA
Source: RNAcentral
CACGUAGGGUGCGAGCGUUGUCCGGAAUUAUUGGGCGUAAAGCGCUCGUAGGCGGUGUGUCGCGUCGGCCGUGAAAACCUGCAGCUUAACUGUGGGCUUGCGGUCGAUACGGGCAUCACUGGAGUUCGGCAGGGGAGACUGGAAUUCCUGGUGUAGCGGUGAAAUGCGCAGAUAUCAGGAGGAACACCGGUGGCGAAGGCGGGUCUCUGGGCCGAUACUGACGCUGAGGAGCGAAAGCGUGGGGAGCGAACAGG